GACCCAUUUCUGGCCAAAGACAAACUCUGCGGGAGACUUCUGGGAAAGUGUUUCCUUUCUGAUAAGAAAAAGGCAAAUGGGGAGAGGCCGGGUUGCCCCUUCUCUUCUCUUCCUGCUUUGGACAUGGUGGAUGAAGAGGUGAUGUGUGAGCUGCGGCAGCCAUCUGUGACGUGAGGACCAGUCGCUGACGAGCUCGGGUCCCGUACAGCAACCUUCAGGCGCCAAACACACUCUCCAGCUCCGAGCUCCAGAUGGCUCUUAAACAGUAGCUGCCUAGUCUAGUCUCCAGCAUGGCAGCUGUGGCUCAGUCACCAGGCUGUACACGAUGUGUUCCUGCCUCCUACAGCCCGGAGAGCAUCCCACUUGUUUGUUCAUAUCUGUGUGGUUAGAGUCUGUCUCCCCCACAACGACAUUCAUCUUGGUUACUUCCUGGUGCUCAGGGUACGAGCAGUGCCACACACACACAGGUGGCAGAACUGCAAAGCUGCAAGAGACCCGGGAAACCAAACCAGCUAAGACCUGCCUGGUCCAGAGAAGAUGUUCUCAUCCCACUGGCUGGCUUUCCCUUGCCAAGGUGCAUCCUCCUCCAGAGGGUGCACUGACUUCCCAGGUGAAGCUAAGAGCCCCACUGGGCGUUCCUAUAUGCCUCAUCCCAUAGUGCUUCCAAGCCUUCUCCUAUCCCUAAGCCUUUAGAAUUUUCCCAAGAUCAGAUUAAUUUGCAACAUAAACUUCAGGCUUGGCAGCUCGUCUGUGUUGUGAAGAUACCUGGCCAAUGUCACAGACGGCCACUCCGUUUGUAGACCAAGCAGGACUCACAAGCCACUGUGUGGUCAUGAGUGUCAGCACUUUUGAGAAGGCCAAUUCAGGCAACACGUACUGUGUUUAGCACCUGUUGAGAACCUACUGUGUGCAGACCAUGUUCUAGGUUUGGAUGGCACAUAGUGAAGACGGCAAUCAUUCCCCUGCAUCUGUAUAUAGUUCCUGGGGAUGGUCCCUCAAACUUUUAGCAGGAGAUCGGGCCCAGACUCGUUUACCUUCAGUGACAACUGUUUCCCAGAGGUCAGCACAUAGUAGGCACUUGAUGAAUUUAACAAUUUGUUUCCCUGAGAGGCUGGGGAAGCUUGCAUGGCUAGGGUGAGGCCAAGAGGGUAAAUUAAGAGCCAGAUAUUGUUGGGUGGAUAGUGGGCUUGGUAUAUUUCAGUGUGCCUACUGGAGGUUACUCAGUAAAUCACCGUUUCGUUUUUUUGUUUUUUUUGUUGUUUUGGGUUUUUUUUGUUUUUUGUUUUUUGUUUUUUUUUUGGCGGUAUACCCUGGACUGGGGGGUGAGCAGCAUCAUUCCCAAACCUCUGUGAUGUGACUGUCACACUUGUAGCCUCUAUUCAGAUGCGUGCAUCGAUUUUCAAAGGUUAAACAAACAAAACCACACACCUGUGCUCACACGUGUACACACACACACACACAAUUUAAAACACACACACAUAAUUAAAAAGACCAAGAGCAAAUUUUAAAAGUGACACAUGUGCAGAAAGUAGGUGUCUUGUGCCUGUUGGGAACUGGGACACC
RNAcentral lists this long non-coding RNA (1563 nucleotides) under Mus spicilegus (steppe mouse). RNAcentral's name for it is "lncRNA (ENSMSIG00000031394.1)". Lineage: Eukaryota; Metazoa; Chordata; Mammalia; Rodentia; Muridae. The record is from RNAcentral.